GACGAACGCUGGCGGCGUGCUUAACACAUGCAAGUCGAACGGAAAGGCCCUGCUUUUGUGGGGUGCUCGAGUGGCGAACGGGUGAGUAACACGUGAGUAACCUGCCCUUGACUUUGGGAUAACUUCAGGAAACUGGGGCUAAUACCGGAUAGGAGCUCCUGCUGCAUGUUGGGGGUUGGAAAGUUUCGGCGGUUGGGGAUGGACUCGCGGCUUAUCAGCUUGUUGGUGGGGUAGUGGCUUACCAAGGCUUUGACGGGUAGCCGGCCUGAGAGGGUGACCGGCCACAUUGGGACUGGGAUACGGCCCAGACGCCUACGGGAGGCAGCAUUGGGGAAUAUUGCACAAUGGGCGGAAGCCUGAUGCAGCAACGCCGCGUGCGGGAUGACGGCCUUCGGGUUGUAAACCGCUUUCGCCUGUGACGAAGCGUGAGUGACGGUAAUGGGUAAAGAAGCACCGGCUAACUACGUG
Molecule: ribosomal RNA, 468 nt
Filed under: uncultured bacterium
Lineage: Bacteria
Description: partial 16S ribosomal RNA
Rfam family: Bacterial small subunit ribosomal RNA
Source: RNAcentral